AAAAAUAAACGAUAUCGUUUACUUUUUUAAAUGUGGCCAUACUUUGCUUUGUCUUGUCAGUGUUAUAUCAUACGUGAAAAUUGGGAAGCUAGGUUAUGUAGAUUGCAGUGCCGCUUUGAAUAAUCGCCGUUAUAUUUUAUUGAUAAAAGAGUGCCUAAAGCAAGAAUAAACUUUAAAUGUCGUUUCUUUGUUUACAGAGCAACACAUGAAGUUAUUCUUUGUUCCAAUUCAUACCAACAAAAGUGAAAUCAUCUUAUAAAACGACAUUUCUAGUUACAAGAUUCAAGGGAAGAUGACGAAACUUCGUUUUGAAUUCACAAUACUACCUGGAAGUGACGAAAAAACAAAUGUCUGUUGUGUAACGUCAAUAACCACCGAGGACAACAAGAGUUAUGCAUUACCGGACGGAUUGCAGUCAGUUAGCCAGCACAAAGAAUUGAUAAAGACAGCGGCGUAUAGUAAGGUGAAAAAUAGUCUGUCGAAAAGGUACCAGACAAGGAGAAUUUGGAUCUCGCUGACCGAGGAACUGGAGCAAAUUUAUAUGGAUGAGGAUGGCAAUGUACAGUUUGCAGACAGAUACCUGGAGGAAUUAAAUCAGGACCAAUGUGCUUCUACUACACCCACUGCUGCCGGCACAAAAGGGACCAAUACUUUAGAAAAAUUGUUAGAAAAAAUAAUAGAAAGUACACAGGAAAGUAAACAACCGAGCUUGAAGAAUAUUGCGGACAAGUUUGUGAUAGAGAAGUUUACUAGCAAGCAUUCUAAUGCAACUCAAUGGAUGGACAUUUUUGAAAAGGAAUGUGAGCGCUUCCAGAUAUCGGAUGAAAAUAAGAUUGAAGUUCUUAGGCUCUUUAUGGAUAAAAGUUGUGUAGAUUGGUAGAGUUCCUUGGUUAUAAAAUUGACUAUGAAGGCAGAAUGGUCUGAGUGGAGGAAAAAAUUUUGUGAAUCAUUUGUUAGCAAAGGGUGGAGCCCAGUUACAUAUGCAUUACUGUAUAAAUAUAAGGAUGGCUCACUGUUGGAUUAUGCUAUAAAGAAAGAAAAGCUUUUACUUGAUAUGAGAAAGUCAAUUGAUUCUGGUACAUUGGUGGAUCUUAUUGCAGUUGGUUUGCCGGAGUACAUAUUAAACAAAAUUGAUAGAGAAGCGUUGAAGGACACAGUUGAGUUGUUCAAUGAGGUAAGCAAGUAUGAACAUAUGGUUAACAAAAAAAGUUAUGUAUUUAAGAGGAAAUAUGGACCCUCAAGAACAAGUUUCAAGAAUGAGGAUCUAAAGCCGUGUAAAAUCUGUGAAGGUUUAAACAAAGGCACCCGUUAUCACUCUGAGACUGCAUGUUGGUUUCGUACUAAAGAAGAUGACAAAGUAAAGAAGAACUUCAUUAAACAUGUGAAUAAUGCAGUGAUAGAGGCAGAGUUAAAUGAAUCUGUUCCAAAAAACGAAUAAUAACACCACUAAUUAAGGUCAAAAUACUAGUAAAUGAUAAACAUCAGAUAAAUGCAGUUUAUGAUCCAGGUUCAGUUGUUUCCAUUAUAAAUUCUAAACUCUUAAGCCUAAAAGGGAAAGGAAACGAAUUGAACGAAGAAAAUUUAGUAACAGUUGGUGGUGUUAAAAAAACGAACGGUUUGACCAAACUAAAAAUAAAGAUUUUUAAUAUAGAGGAAAAUGUUGAUAUAUCCAUUGUGGAUGAACAAUAUUUUAAGCAUGAUUUCCUGAUUGGCUUGGACCUGAUAAAAAUAUUUCGAUUGACUCAAGAUGAGAAAUUGGAGAUAAAUCAGGUACUGGGUACAAAUAUGAAAAAUAAUGAGAAAGUGAUAGUUUCAAAUGAAGAAAUAAUUCAUGACCAAUCGAAUGUUCCUGGGGACGAUGAGAAUACUACAAAAGAAUAUUAUGUUAAUUUUAAUGAGCAUGUAAAGGUGGAGGAUUUUACGAUAAAGAUUGGUCAUUUGAACAAGGAACAACAGUCUGAAAUAAAUACAUUGAUAAAUAAAUAUAACACAGUUUUUGCAAGGCAUAAAUAUGAUGUUGGGACUGUCAAUGGAUAUGAAGCCAGAAUAGACUUGUUGGUGGACAAAUAUUGCAGCAAGAGGCCGUACAGAUGUACUAUGGAAGAUAAAAAAGAGAUAGAAGAGCAAAUUGGAAAGUUACUAGAUAAUAAGUUAAUAGAAGAAUCCUAUAGUCCAUUUGCUGCACCAGUCACAUUGGCAUUUAAGAGAGAGGAGAAUAAAAAAUCAAGAUUAUGUAUUGACUUUAGGGACUUAAAUAAAAUAGUAGUACCACAAGGUCAGCCCUUUCCAUUGAUUGAAGAUCUUAUGAUGAAGACUAGGAA
Molecule: long non-coding RNA, 2321 nt
Organism: Cydia pomonella (codling moth)
Lineage: Eukaryota; Metazoa; Arthropoda; Insecta; Lepidoptera; Tortricidae
Exons: 2
Source: RefSeq, a predicted model, not a curated record